AUACGGAGGGUGCAAGCGUUACUCGGAAUCACUGGGCGUAAAGGAUGCGUAGGCGGAUAAUCAAGUCAAAAGCGAAAUCCCACGGCUUAACCGUGGAACUGCUUUCGAAACUGGUUAUCUAGAAUAUGGAAGAGGCAGAUGGAAUUAGUGGUGUAGGGGUAAAAUCCGUAGAGAUCACUAGGAAUACCGAUUGCGAAGGCGAUCUGCUGGGACAUUAUUGACGCUGAGGCAUGAAAGCGUGGGGAGCAAACAGGAUUAGAAACCCUAGUAGUCC
Molecule: ribosomal RNA, 274 nt
Filed under: uncultured bacterium
Lineage: Bacteria
Description: partial 16S ribosomal RNA
Rfam family: Bacterial small subunit ribosomal RNA
Source: RNAcentral